This 110-nucleotide ribosomal RNA is filed under the name Neogale vison (American mink). Lineage: Eukaryota; Metazoa; Chordata; Mammalia; Carnivora; Mustelidae. The record is from RNAcentral.
GUGGAGAUACAUACCACCCUGAACGCGCCCGAUCUCGUCUGAUCUCGGAAGCUAAGCAGGGUCGGGCCUGGUUAGUACUUGGAUGGGAGAUACAUAUGUAUAUCUCCACC